This 631-nucleotide ribosomal RNA is filed under the name Chelatococcus sp. RNAcentral's name for it is "bacterial SSU rRNA". It matches the Rfam family "Bacterial small subunit ribosomal RNA", at positions 57 to 732 of the family's 1533-position model. The record is from RNAcentral. Lineage: Bacteria; Pseudomonadati; Pseudomonadota; Alphaproteobacteria; Hyphomicrobiales; Chelatococcaceae.
UGCAGUCGAGCGGUUCCUUCGGGGAAGCGUGGACGGAUGAGUAACACGUGGAAACGUGCCCUUUGGUCCGCAUUAACUCGGGGAACUUGAGCUAAUACCGGAUACGUCCGAGAGGAGAACGAUUUAUCGCCAAUGGAUCGGCCCGCGGCCGAUUACCUAAUUGGUGGGGUAACAGCCUACCACUGCGACGAGGGGUAACUGGUCUGAGAGCUGAUAUCCCACACUGGGACUGAAACACGAUCCACACUCCUACGGCUGGCACACGUGGGGAAUAUUGGACAAUGGGCGCAAGCCUGAUCCAUGCAUGCCGCGUGAGUGAUGAAUGCCCUAGUGUUGUAAAGCUCUUUUAUCCCGGACGAUUGUGACGGUACUUUGUCCAAUAAGCCCCGGCUAACUUCGUGCCCUUCGCCGCGAUUAAUACUAAGGGGGCUAGCGUUGCUCGCUAAUCACUGGGCCGUAAAGGGCGCGUAUACGGACGUUUAAAUCAGUUACUGAAAUCCCCGGGCUCAACCUCGGAAUUGCCUUUGAUACUGGAUGUCUCGAGACCUCACCAGGUAAGUGGAACUGCGAGUGUUGAGGUGAGAUUCAUCUAUAUUUCGCAAGAACACCAGUGGAAUUCGCGGCUUACUGG